Long non-coding RNA from Oreochromis niloticus (Nile tilapia), 597 nucleotides. RefSeq lists it as uncharacterized. NCBI's taxonomy places the organism in Eukaryota, Metazoa, Chordata, Actinopteri, Cichliformes, Cichlidae. The record is from RefSeq and is a predicted model, not a curated record. The transcript has 3 exons.
UGUCUGCCGUCAUUCUGUUUUCUCUCCGUGGCUCCCUGCAUCUCUGUUUGCCACGCCAGACGUGACAAGGGCUGAGUGUACCUCAGGAACUCCCACUCCUCCUUUCUUUAUGGCAAGAAGCUCUUCAGAAUAAGUUCCUGUUCGUGAGCAGCUGCCUCUUCUUUGUUCAGAACCAUGGUUCCCAAAGUGGAUUGCUGUGAAGAUAGAACCAAGCUGCUGAGAGACUUUUUACUUUGCACUGCUGCCUCACAGCAAUCCUGGCUCAUAGGUGUGCAGUGUGCCUCCUGCUGACUAAAGAUUAUCAUCGGUUCAUACUGCCAAGAUAAACAAGUUCUCAUUCCCAAACAACCCGGAUCACUUAGUGCCAAUAUUCACCUGGAUUCCAACUUCUCCCCUCUGGAAGUUUCUGUGUAUUUCUCAAGUAUCCAAUUUAUUCUGACCAUGUUUGCUGUCAUGCCUGAACCCAGAUCUAACUCUUCUUUCCUCUCUGCAGUGAACUCCUUUUUUCCCUUGGACCUGCAAGGAAAAAACCCCCUGAGUGACCUACCUUUAUUAAUCUGCCCCUGCUCAAGCUAAAUAAAGAUUGUGAAACAUUUA